ACUGACUCGUCCGCAUGUGUGUACAAAUGCAUUUUGAUUCCAAGUUUAUGUCGGCAGUUGCAGCUUGAUUUAAAAUGGUAAUCAUGGCAUCAUAAGAGCAGAGUAACGCUUUCCCUCAAAU
Long non-coding RNA from Etheostoma spectabile (orangethroat darter), 121 nucleotides. RefSeq lists it as uncharacterized. Lineage: Eukaryota; Metazoa; Chordata; Actinopteri; Perciformes; Percidae. The record is from RefSeq and is a predicted model, not a curated record. The transcript has 2 exons.